Molecule: ribosomal RNA, 534 nt
Filed under: uncultured bacterium
Lineage: Bacteria
Description: bacterial SSU rRNA
Rfam family: Bacterial small subunit ribosomal RNA
Source: RNAcentral
GCGAUUGGGCCGACAGAGUUUGAUCAUGGCUCAGGAUGAACGCUGGCGGCGUGCUUAACACAUGCAAGUCGAACGGUGAACCCCUUCGGGGGGGAUCAGUGGCGAACGGGUGAGUAACACGUGAGCAACCUGCCCCUGACUCUGGGAUAACCCCGGGAAACCGGAGCUAAUACCGGAUACGACCUGCUCGGGCAUCCGAUGCGGGUGGAAAGAUUUAUCGGUUGGGGAUGGGCUCGCGGCCUAUCAGCUUGUUGGUGGGGUGAUGGCCUACCAAGGCGACGACGGGUAGCCGGCCUGAGAGGGCGACCGGCCACACUGGGACUGAGACACGGCCCAGACUCCUACGGGAGGCAGCAGUGGGGAAUCUUGCACAAUGGGCGAAAGCCUGAUGCAGCGACGCCGCGUGAGGGAAGAAGGCUUUCGGGUUGUAAACCUCUUUCAGGAGGGACGAAGCCACCCGGGUUAAUAGCCCAGAGGGUGACGGUACCUCCAGAAGAAGCCCCGGCUAACUACGUGCCAGCAGCCGCGGUAAUA